RNAcentral lists this long non-coding RNA (724 nucleotides) under Toxoplasma gondii VEG. Lineage: Eukaryota; Apicomplexa; Conoidasida; Eucoccidiorida; Sarcocystidae. The record is from RNAcentral.
GCAAGGUUGGUCUCACGUUAUUUGGCGGGGAAGUGCUAUGACAACAGGCGACAAAGGUGUGGGUCCCAACGUCGACUUGCCGGCACAGUGCCGACUUCGCGACACGGUUUCGACUUUACAUCACAGUAACAAGAAAAUCUGGAUCCUUCCACGAGCAAGUUUCUAGUCUUACUCCGCUGACACAAGCGGCCUGAACAUCCCCGAGCUUACCCAUUCCCGCACAGUAGGGACUCGAGUCUAAUCGAGCUUCUGACCUGUCAUGUCACCACGUAUGUACAUGAUGGCAAUUUUGUCCUCGCCAGCCACCCUGGCUGUUUUUACUUUUCUUUUGUGCAACCUGCAUAACUGCUAUUCCGGGAGUUGGGCAAUGGCGGCAGAACGUUUGGAGACAGUAUCGGGUAUCGGCAGCGGGAGCGAUGGCCGCCAUGCAGCAUCGGCGGUCCCACGCUCAGCCAUCCUGGCCGAAGCGGAACAGCAACAUACGCUAGUUCCUGUUCACCUAAGGAGAUCAAAGAGAACUAGUCUCACGAAGAGAAGCACAGCGUUGUCACGUCGUACAAAGACGAUGAUCGCGGCCAAAGUAGUCCUUUCCCUGGUAGCUAUCUUGGGACUGCUGGUGGCUUCUGUCAAGCUACAGCAAUGUCGGCGAAGUUUGCCAGAAUCCCCUAGCAGGGAAGCUGAAGGAAUCACAGGAAGGCGGCUUGCAGAAGGCGGCGGUGACGAC